CCUACGGGAGGCAGCAGUGAGGAAUUUUCCGCAAUGGGCGAAAGCCUGACGGAGCAAUACCGCGUGAAGGAUGAAGGCCUAUGGGUUGUAAACUUCUUUUCUCAGAGAAGAAUUUUGACGGUAUCUGAGGAAUAAACAUCGGCUAACUCUGUGCCAGCAGCCGCGGUAAGACAGAGGAUGCAAGCGUUAUCCGGAUUAAUUGGGCGUAAAGCGUCUGUAGGUGGUUUAUCAAGUUUUUUGUCAAAGAUCGGGGCUUAACUCCGGGGAGGCAGAGAAAACUAGUAAACUUGAGUUCGGUAGGGGCAGAGGGAAUUCCCGGGGGAGCGGUGAAAUGCGUAAAGAUCGGGAGGAACACCAAAGGCGAAGGCACUCUGCUGGGCCGCAACUGACACUGAGAGACGAAAGCGAGGGUAGCAAAUGGGAUUAGAUACCCCAGUAGUCCUCGCCGUAAACGAUGGAUACUAGGUGUUGGAUGAGUUCAAUCAUUCACUACCGUAGCUAACGCGUGAAGUAUCCCGCCUGGGGAGUACGCUCGCAAGAGUGAAACUCAAAGGAAUUGACGGA
Molecule: ribosomal RNA, 564 nt
Filed under: uncultured bacterium
Lineage: Bacteria
Description: bacterial SSU rRNA
Rfam family: Bacterial small subunit ribosomal RNA
Source: RNAcentral